GGGGCUGUAGCUCAGCUGGCUAGAGCACCUGCUUUGCAAGCAGGGGGUCGUGGGUUCGAGUCCCAUCAGCUCCA
Molecule: transfer RNA, 74 nt
Filed under: Actinomyces sp.
Lineage: Bacteria; Bacillati; Actinomycetota; Actinomycetes; Actinomycetales; Actinomycetaceae
Also listed under: 11 other names
Description: tRNA-Ala
Rfam family: tRNA
About the family: Transfer RNA (tRNA) molecules are approximately 80 nucleotides in length. Their secondary structure includes four short double-helical elements and three loops (D, anti-codon, and T loops). Further hydrogen bonds mediate the characteristic L-shaped molecular structure. tRNAs have two regions of fundamental functional importance: the anti-codon, which is responsible for specific mRNA codon recognition, and the 3' end, to which the tRNAs corresponding amino acid is attached (by aminoacyl-tRNA synthetases). tRNAs cope with the degeneracy of the genetic code in two manners: having more than one tRNA (with a specific anti-codon) for a particular amino acid; and 'wobble' base-pairing, i.e. permitting non-standard base-pairing at the 3rd anti-codon position.
Source: RNAcentral